RNAcentral lists this ribosomal RNA (445 nucleotides) under uncultured bacterium. RNAcentral's name for it is "SSU rRNA". It matches the Rfam family "Bacterial small subunit ribosomal RNA", at positions 26 to 518 of the family's 1533-position model. The record is from RNAcentral.
AGAGCGAACGCUGGCGGCAGGCCUAAUACAUGCAAGUCGAACGGAUCCUUCGGGAUUAGUGGCGGACGGGUGAGUAACACGUGGGAACGUGCCCUUUGGUUCGGAACAACUCAGGGAAACUUGAGCUAAUACCGGAUGUGCCCUUCGGGGGAAAGAUUUAUCGCCAUUGGAGCGGCCCGCGUCUGAUUAGCUAGUUGGUGGGGUAAAGGCCCACCAAGGCGACGAUCAGUAGCUGGUCUGAGAGGAUGAUCAGCCACACUGGGACUGAGACACGGCCCAGACUCCUACGGGAGGCAGCAGUAGGGAAUCUUGCGCAAUGGGCGAAAGCCUGACGCAGCCAUGCCGCGUGAAUGAUGAAGGUCUUAGGAUUGUAAAAUUCUUUCAGCGGGGACGAUAAUGACGGUACCGCAGAAGAAGCCCCGGCUAACUUCGUGCCAGCAGCCGC